RNAcentral lists this ribosomal RNA (253 nucleotides) under uncultured bacterium. RNAcentral's name for it is "partial 16S ribosomal RNA". It matches the Rfam family "Bacterial small subunit ribosomal RNA", at positions 524 to 776 of the family's 1533-position model. The record is from RNAcentral.
GACGUAGGGCGCGAGCGUUGUCCGGAUUUAUUGGGCGUAAAGAGCUCGUAGGCGGUCUGUCGCGUCUGCUGUGAAAACUCAGGGCUUAACCCUGAGCUUGCAGUGGGUACGGGCAGACUAGAGUGCGGUAGGGGAGACUGGAAUUCCUGGUGUAGCGGCGAAAUGCGCAGAUAUCAGGAGGAACACCGGUGGCGAAGGCGGGUCUCUGGGCCGUAACUGACGCUGAGGAGCGAAAGCAUGGGGAGCGAACAGG